GACGAACGCUGGCGGCGUGCUUAACACAUGCAAGUCGAACGAAGAGCGACGGAAGCUUGCUUCUAUCAAUCUUAGUGACGAACGGGUGAGUAACGCGUAAUCAACCUGCCCUUCAGAGGGGGACAACAGUUGGAAACGACUGCUAAUACCGCAUACGAUCUAACCUCGGCAUCGAGGAUAGAUGAAAGGUGGCCUCUACAUGUAAGCUAUCACUGAAGGAGGGGAUUGCGUCUGAUUAGCUAGUUGGAGGGGUAACGGCCCACCAAGGCGAUGAUCAGUAGCCGGUCUGAGAGGAUGAACGGCCACAUUGGGACUGAGACACGGCCCAGACUCCUACGGGAGGCAGCAGGGGGGAAUCUUCCGCAAUGGACGAAAGUCUGACGGAGCAACGCCGCGGGAGUGAUGACGGCCUUCGGGUUGUAAAGCUCUGUUAAUCGGGACGAAAGGCCUUCUUGCGAAUAGUGAGAAGGAUUGACGGUACCGGAAUAGAAAGCCACGGCUAACUACGUG
This 510-nucleotide ribosomal RNA is filed under the name uncultured bacterium. RNAcentral describes it as "partial 16S ribosomal RNA". It matches the Rfam family "Bacterial small subunit ribosomal RNA", at positions 28 to 507 of the family's 1533-position model. The record is from RNAcentral.